GGAUCCUAGCCUGGAUCCUAGCCUGGAUCCUAGCCUGGAUCCUAGCCUGGAUCACAACCUGAUUCCUAGCCUGGAUUCUAGCCUGACUCCUAGCCUGGAUCCUAACUUGAGUCCUAGCCUGGAUCCUAGCCUGGAUCCUAACCUGACUCCUAGCCUGGAUCCUUGCCUGGAUCCUAGCCUGGAUCCUAACCUGACUCCUAGCCUGGAUUCUAACCUGAUUCCUAGCCUGACUCCUAGCCUGGAUCCUAGCCUGGAUCCUAACUUGACUCCUAGCCUGGAUCCUAACCUGACUCCUAGCCUGGAUCCUAGCCUGGAUCCUAACUUGACUCCUAGCCUGGAUCUUAGCCUGGCUCCUAGCCUGGAUCCUAACUUGACUCCUAGCCUGGAUCCUAGCCUGGAUCCUAACCUGCCUCCUAGCCUGACUCCUAGCCUGGAUCCUAGCCUGGAUCCUAGCCUGAUUCCUAACCUGGAUCCUAACCUGGCUCCUAGCCUGACUCCUAGUCUGGUUCCUGGGGUUGGGGACACAGCUGAGGAAUGCCUGGGUGACUCACCGGCAGGGGGACAGAAUGAGAGGAAGCCGGCACACUCUGAUGAGGUCAUCCAGGAGGAGAUAGAUGACGUCAGCUCUGCUGAAUCUGUGGACCCAUCCCAGUGUUGAGAGUUUGGACACACCUGUCAGUACCUCCAGUGACUCACCCCCCCAAUACCCCCAGCCCUUCCAGACAGUAGUAAGACUGUGCCUGGUCUACAGCACAGCCUCACCACCCCCCUGAAGCUGGUAGUUGGUUCAGUCCAGUGUGAGAGUCCCACCUCCCCUGUGGGUGUGAAGAGUGGUAUCUCCCAGGGCCUAGAGGCCUCACACUGGCAGGGAAGCGUGGACGAGGUGCGUGAGAGAACGCUGGAGAGAGAAGAGACGGCUUCUGUGAUGACAACGCCACAGAACAGAACGCUCGGAGACCCAGAGCAGCAGGAGACCAGCUCAGGAGCAGUGGAUGCACCAGCGAUCCACAGAGAAAAGGAAACCUUCUACCCGUUCCUUCCCGGCUCAGACACCCCGGUCCAGAUCCCCACCACCCCCGAGGAGAGCACAG
This is a long non-coding RNA of Osmerus eperlanus (European smelt), 1091 nucleotides long. RefSeq lists it as uncharacterized. The record is from RefSeq and is a predicted model, not a curated record. The transcript has 3 exons. NCBI's taxonomy places the organism in Eukaryota, Metazoa, Chordata, Actinopteri, Osmeriformes, Osmeridae.